This 1512-nucleotide long non-coding RNA is filed under the name Homo sapiens (human). RNAcentral describes it as "HSALNT0250647". Lineage: Eukaryota; Metazoa; Chordata; Mammalia; Primates; Hominidae. The record is from RNAcentral.
AGUAAUAAUUCAAAGUCAUGUGUAGGAAUUGAUGUUUAAAUAUGAGGGUACAAGAGAAGCAGCUCAACAUCAUUGCAAGCUUUUAAUCCUGUGGCACUAGAAAAUGGGAGUUGCCAUUUAUGGGUGAGAGAUGAAGCUAAUAAAAGAGAGUCUAUUCUCCAUUUAUUUACUUUGUACCUUAGGUUAAUUUUCUGGAUAACUACCAUUCUAAUAAUAUGCCUUCUCAGCAAACUCAAUUUUACCAUAUUUGUCUCUAAAUUAUCUUUGUAAAUAUCCUGUGCAUCUUCCCAAAACAAUUUUCCACCACUGAGUGUAAAAGAUCAUUGUAUUUUUCUUUUCUAGUUGAAUAUUUGUGGAGAGUUUGGCUAGCAAACCUAAAUUACAACAUUUUAGUAUAUAUAAUUUAGUACAGGGAACAAAAAGAAUUAGAGGCAUUGCACAGAGUUUGUAAGAUUAUUGUUGCUGUUUCCAUUGUUUGGUAGAGUGUUUGCAAGUUUAGAGACUAAAUUGUAGUUCAUUUUUGUUCCUUAUCAUUUUUUAAAACUUUUUGUGUACAUUUAAGUUCAUAGCAUAUAAAGGCUUAAUUCUCACAUUGUUGGUUUUGGAAAAUCAUCAAUUUAUAAAUGCAAUAUCCCUUUCUUCUCAAUAAGGGUCAUUUUACAAAUGGAAAAUGUCAAAAUUCUUAUGGUACAGUUGAAAACAGAAGCACUCCUCAUGGUAUCUCAGAUAUGCAGUUAAGAAUGGGAACACAUUCUUGAUAUUUUAUUCCCAUCCACCCACCCCCUAAUGUACCUUUCUUUCUUGAGCUCAUGGCCAAGGAAGAAAACGAAUGUUUCUAGUUUUUCCCUGUUAUGUCCAACUGUGGUUAAAUGUCCCUGAAGCACGUACAGUGGUUUCUUUGUGUCUAUGUUUUCUUAUCUAUGACCACAUUUUGCCCUUACAAUAGCCCCAGCAGAUAAGUAGGCAAGUAUUACUAUCCCCAUUGUGCACACAGAUGUUCCAAGUUCAAGAAUGUUGCCUAAAAUCACAAAACUGGAUAUUGGCAAAUCAGGUCUCUAGACAUCCUGCCCAUCCAUCUUCUUUCUCCUAAACAGCAGCCUAUGAGGCUGGACUAACAUUUUUCUAGAUUAAAGUGAUACACAUUAACUACAGCUGUUUUUCCAAAUAUGUGGGUGGGUUAGUCAACAGCUGUUCUUAACCCUAAAGAGAAGCAAAAGCACAACCGCAGAGAAUGACAACAGGAAGCAUCUUUCAGGCAAUUUACAACUUUAGGCCAGGCCUCCACCCAUCCAAGCAAAACCUGUUCCCUUCAAAGCAGUUUUCUUAGAAAGCUCAGCAUAUUACAGCCUUUGAUGUUCUCUCCUCUCUCAAGUAGGUUCAUCUUUUAGAGGGUAGGUAGCUGAUGCUUACUUUAUUCUAUAUUAAAUAAUCUGACCUCUCCUGUGCUUUCUCUUCACCAACAGACUGGGCACAUUUCUCCAGUUGAAAAUUGUUUCCAACUUGAAGCACUCU